This 253-nucleotide ribosomal RNA is filed under the name uncultured bacterium. RNAcentral's name for it is "partial 16S ribosomal RNA". It matches the Rfam family "Bacterial small subunit ribosomal RNA", at positions 524 to 776 of the family's 1533-position model. The record is from RNAcentral.
CACGUAGGGCGCAAGCGUCGUCCGGAAUUAUUGGGCGUAAAGAGCUCGUAGGCGGUCUGUCGCGUCUGCUGUGAAAACCUGGGGCUUAACCCCGGGCCUGCAGUGGGUACGGGCAGACUAGAGUGUGGUAGGGGAGACUGGAAUUCCUGGUGUAGCGGUGAAAUGCGCAGAUAUCAGGAGGAACACCGGUGGCGAAGGCGGGUCUCUGGGCCAUAACUGACGCUGAGGAGCGAAAGCGUGGGGAGCGAACAGG